AUUGUAAAUAACUUGUUUGAAUAAUCAAAAGUUUAAUGUUUAGGAAAAAUAAUUUUUAAAGUAGCGUUUAAGUAAUUUUUAAUGAAUUUUUUUGUGGACUAUAGUUUAAAGUACUGUAAAGGAAAAAGAUAAAAUUUUUGAUAGUAAAUUUAAAAUUUUGUACCUUGUGUAUCAGGGGAAAUUUAUAUAAAUUAAAAAUAAUUAAGAAUCUCGAAAUAAAAUAUAGCUAACUUUAUAAAAAAAUUUUUGUAGAAAAUAAAUUUUUAAUAUAAAGUUAAAGGUGAAAUGCUAGUCGAGUUUUAUGAUAUCUAGUUUUUCGAAAAUAAAUUUAAUUUGGUUUUUUCUUAAAUUAACGAAAAAUUCAAAUGUAGGAGGGAAUAGCUUCUUAUAAAUUAAAAUAUUAAAGAGUCUAGAAAAAUGAAUAAUUUGUGAAUUAAGCUUAAAAGUAGCUAUACUAAUAAAGUGUUUUAACUAAACCGGAAAUUGAAAAUAUUUAUUUAGACUUUAAAAAGUAUUGGAAAAUUAAUUUAAAUUAAAAUAAUUAAGUUAUAAUGAUUUUAUUAGUAAAAGUUUUAUGUAGUAUUUAAAUGUUAAAAUAAUAAUUAUUAUUUAAAACUAAAAAAGUAAUAUAAAGGAACUCGGCAAAAUUAUUUCUUUGCCUGUUUAUCAAAAACAUGUCUAUUUGGAGAUAUAAAAAGUUUAACCUGCCCACUGAUUGUUAUAAAUUGAAUGGCCGCGGUAUUUUGACCGUGCAAAGGUAGCAUAAUCGUUAGUUUUUUAAUUGAAAUCUUGUAUGAAUGGUUGGACAAAAGAAAAUCUGUCUUUGUAUUAAGUAUUGAAUUUAACUUUUAAGUGAAAAGGCUUAAAUAAAUUAAAGGGACGAUAAGACCCUAUAAAGCUUGAUAUUAAUAUUUUAUUUAGUUGAAUUUUGUAUAAUAAAAAUUUUAUAAUUAAAUUUAUUUUAUUGGGGCGAUAAAAGUAAAAUGUUUAAUAACUGCUUAAAAUUGAGUACAUAUAUAAGUGAUUAAAUUUUUAAAUGAUCCUAAUUAAAGAUUAAAAGUUUAAGUUACUUUAGGGAUAACAGCGUUAUUUUUUUUGAGAGUACUUAUCGAAAAAAGAGUUUGCGACCUCGAUGUUGAAUUAAAAUAUCUU
This 1152-nucleotide ribosomal RNA is filed under the name Parapyxidognathus deianira. RNAcentral describes it as "16S ribosomal RNA". The record is from RNAcentral. Lineage: Eukaryota; Metazoa; Arthropoda; Malacostraca; Decapoda; Varunidae.